UGUUAAACUUUCACUCAAAGCUGCCAGGAGCUGGGUCUUUAAAAUAACCGCCGUCUCGUUACAGAGUGAAAGUAGCAGUUCCACCUUAAGGUCAGAGAUUGCAGCAUCUGAGGGCCUCUUCAAAAGAAGACGUAGUUGAUGAAGGCGUUCUGGAGCAGGACCACAAAGACCACGACCAAGCAGCCUUGAAAUCUUAGGCAGCGUCUCCCUCAGGUCCAUCUCUAUCUCCCCACACAUCCACCAACCACUGGAACACAUCUCCAAAGUUCUGCCAGACCAGCUCAGCUUCCCCUCAGAAGAAGUGCCGCCACCUGCCAGAUGAAGGAGCCUUUUGAGAGGCAGCUGGCAUCGUGAUUGGACUGUACUUUGGUCUGUUCCAAUCCAGCUUCAGCUCCAGAGACGGCAGGUGGGACGAGUCAACGGAGGCCGGGUGGACGAAGGCAUGCAGCUGAGUACAAUCCAGAAAACAACAGAGGAGGAGUGCAGCAGCCCAGGGCCAGAACAACCAGAGUAGCAUUACCAAAGAACUACAGACUCUUCACAACCUGCUCAAACUCUUGGUACAGGACCUCACCACACGGGUCAAGAAGGUUUCCGUCUCAUUUCUACUCUGAAGCUCACCUUCUCCUGCUCAAACUGCUGACAAAUGUUUCUGCUGCUCUAAAGUCUGGUCUCCAGAACUUCCUAAAAACUCUCAAAGUCUCUUCUGCUGCAGGUUGCUUUGUAGAACUGUUCCAGAAAACCUCACUAAACCACAUGGAGGGGCCUCAAGAUAGUCGUCCAAAUGAAACCAUACAAAAACCAAACUAGCACAACCCAAACGCUAAAGUCUCCUGCAGCCUACCAGAGAACCUCUGAGAACAGAGAAACAGGACAUGAACUCUUACCUUCUGGACAACCAACAUUGGUUCUCAAACAAGAAUACAGAAUGUGUCUGACCAAAAACCUCUAAAGACUCACUACAGCCAAGAUAAAGACACAACUCAGCUGUACCAAAUCCACUAAUCACUGCACACAUUAGCACCAUGUGCUAACUGUGGCUAAAGAACCACAUUUACCAAGACAACUAUCCAGUACAAAGCCCUAAAACACACCAAGAAACACAUUAAAGACGAUUUUACUGCUGGAAGCUGCAAGCCAACGCCUAAACAAACUAAAGCAACGGAGCCAAACCCGGUUCUGCGGUGAAGAGAAGCAGAGGAAAUGUUUGACUGCAGAAAAACAAAGCAGGAAGACACCGAGCUGCUCAGGUGUUCCUGAUAACACCUGAGCAGCCACCUGGACAGCCAAUAGGAACACAGCUUACUGGAAGUCCAGAGGGCUGGGUUAGUGAAGGAAAUUUAGUUUAAAGUUGAGGCAGAAAGUUAACAAAGAAAGUUGAAAACCACCUUCUGAUACCUGAAAUCUCUGAGUUUUCACACAAAGAACGCCUGAACAUGUCAAACUGGUUCCAUAGUAGAA
This is a long non-coding RNA of Amphiprion ocellaris (clown anemonefish), 1461 nucleotides long. RefSeq lists it as uncharacterized. The record is from RefSeq and is a predicted model, not a curated record. The transcript has 3 exons. Lineage: Eukaryota; Metazoa; Chordata; Actinopteri; Pomacentridae.